GAUGAACGCUAGCGGCAGGCUUAACACAUGCAAGUCGAGGGGUAUAGGAAGCUUGCUUCCUAGAGACCGGCGCACGGGUGCGUAACGCGUAUGCAAUCUACCUUUUGCAGAGGGAUAGCCCAGAGAAAUUUGGAUUAAUACCUCAUAGUAUGUGAGAAUGGCAUCAUUUUCACACUAAAGUCACAACGGCAAAAGAUGAGCAUGCGUCCCAUUAGCUUGUUGGUAAGGUAACGGCUUACCAAGGCAACGAUGGGUAGGGGUCCUGAGAGGGAGAUCCCCCACACUGGUACUGAGACACGGACCAGACUCCUACGGGAGGCAGCAGUGAGGAAUAUUGGACAAUGGGCGCAAGCCUGAUCCAGCCAUGCCGCGUGCGGGAUGACGGUCCUAUGGAUUGAAACUGCUUUUGUACAGGAAGAAACACGUGGUUCGUGAACCAGCUUGACGGUACUGUAAGAAUAAGGAUCGGCU
RNAcentral lists this ribosomal RNA (471 nucleotides) under uncultured bacterium. Its description in RNAcentral is "bacterial SSU rRNA". It matches the Rfam family "Bacterial small subunit ribosomal RNA", at positions 28 to 498 of the family's 1533-position model. The record is from RNAcentral.